AGUGAACGCUGGCGGUAGGCCUAACACAUGCAAGUCGAACGGCAGCACAGUAAGAGCUUGCUCUUACGGGUGGCGAGUGGCGGACGGGUGAGGAAUACAUCGGAAUCUACUUUUUCGUGGGGGAUAACGUAGGGAAACUUACGCUAAUACCGCAUACGAUCUACGGGUGAAAGCAGGGGAUCUUCGGACCUUGCGCGAUUGAAUGAGCCGAUGUCGGAUUAACUAGUUGGCGGGGUAAAGGCCCACCAAGGCGACGAUCCGUAGCUGGUCUGAGAGGAUGAUCAGCCACACUGGAACUGAGACACGGUCCAGACUCCUACGGGAGGCAGCAGUGGGGAAUAUUGGACAAUGGGCGCAAGCCUGAUCCAGCCAUACCGCGUGGGUGAAGAAGGCCUUCGGGUUGUAAAGCCCUUUUGUUGGGAAAGAAAAGCAGCAGGUUAAUACCCCGCUGUUCUGACGGUACCCAAAGAAUAAGCACCGGCUAACUUCGUG
This 492-nucleotide ribosomal RNA is filed under the name uncultured bacterium. RNAcentral's name for it is "partial 16S ribosomal RNA". It matches the Rfam family "Bacterial small subunit ribosomal RNA", at positions 29 to 507 of the family's 1533-position model. The record is from RNAcentral.